This 1247-nucleotide ribosomal RNA is filed under the name Candidatus Phytoplasma cynodontis. RNAcentral describes it as "bacterial SSU rRNA". It matches the Rfam family "Bacterial small subunit ribosomal RNA", at positions 153 to 1399 of the family's 1533-position model. Lineage: Bacteria; Bacillati; Mycoplasmatota; Mollicutes; Acholeplasmatales; Acholeplasmataceae. The record is from RNAcentral.
GAAACGACUGCUAAGACUGGAUAGGAAAUUAGAAGGCAUCUUUUAAUUUUUAAAAGACCUUUUUCGAAAGGUAUACUUAAAGAGGGGCUUGCGGCACAUUAGUUAGUUGGUAGGGUAAAAGCCUACCAAGACCAUGAUGUGUAGCUGGACUGAGAGGUUGAACAGCCACAUUGGGACUGAGACACGGCCCAAACUCCUACGGGAGGCAGCAGUAGGGAAUUUUCGGCAAUGGAGGAAACUCUGACCGAGCAACGCCGCGUGAACGAUGAAGUAUUUCGGUAUGUAAAGUUCUUUUAUUGGAGAAGAAAAAAUAGUAGAAAAACUAUCUUGACGAUAUUCAAUGAAUAAGCCCCGGCAAACUAUGUGCCAGCAGCCGCGGUAAUACAUAGGGGGCGAGCGUUAUCCGGAAUUAUUGGGCGUAAAGGGUGCGUAGGCGGUUUGGUAAGUCUAUAGUUUAAUUUCAGUGCUUAACACUGUUCUGCUAUAGAAACUAUCAGACUAGAGUGAGAUAGAGGCAAGUGGAAUUCCAUGUGUAGCGGUAAAAUGCGUAAAUAUAUGGAGGAACACCAGAGGCGUAGGCGGCUUGCUGGGUCUUUACUGACGCUGAGGCACGAAAGCGUGGGGAGCAAACAGGAUUAGAUACCCUGGUAGUCCACGCCGUAAACGAUGAGUACUAAGUGUCGGGGAAACUCGGUACUGAAGUUAACACAUUAAGUACUCCGCCUGAGUAGUACGUACGCAAGUAUGAAACUUAAAGGAAUUGACGGGACUCCGCACAAGCGGUGGAUCAUGUUGUUUAAUUCGAAGAUACACGAAAAACCUUACCAGGUCUUGACAUACUCUGCAAAGCUAUAGCAAUAUAGUGGAGGUUAUCAGGGAUACAGGUGGUGCAUGGUUGUCGUCAGCUCGUGUCGUGAGAUGUUAGGUUAAGUCCUAAAACGAGCGCAACCCUUGUCACUAGUUGCCAGCAUGUUAUGAUGGGCACUUUAGUGAGACUGCCAAUGAAAAAUUGGAGGAAGGUGAGGACCACGUCAAAUCAUCAUGCCCCUUAUGAUCUGGGCUACAAACGUGAUACAAUGGCUGUUACAAAGAGUAGCUAAAACGCGAGUUUAUAGCCAAUCUCAUAAAAGCAGUCUCAGUUCGGAUUGAAGUCUGCAACUCGACUUCAUGAAGUUGGAAUCGCUAGUAAUCGCGAAUCAGCAUGUCGCGGUGAAUACGUUCGCGGGGUUUGUACACACCGCCCGUCA